Molecule: long non-coding RNA, 222 nt
Filed under: Gossypium raimondii (Peruvian cotton)
Lineage: Eukaryota; Viridiplantae; Streptophyta; Magnoliopsida; Malvales; Malvaceae
Description: long non-coding RNA (GRAI_LNC010638)
Source: RNAcentral
AAAGGCGGAGGGGCUAAAAGCGCAAUUUACCCUUCCGUAUAAAAACACGCGGAUCCUAGGCCGGGUCGGGUCGGCCUCCCCAAAACGAUGUCGUUUUGGGAAUCUGGGGGCUCUCUAAAACGGUACCGUUUUGGUACCCUAAAAAAGCCCCCAAUCUUUCCAAAAAACCAUUUUAAAACCAUCUUUUAAAAAAAACAAAAAAAACCUUUCAAAAAAAAAAAC